Molecule: ribosomal RNA, 322 nt
Filed under: uncultured eukaryote
Lineage: Eukaryota
Description: partial 18S ribosomal RNA
Rfam family: Eukaryotic small subunit ribosomal RNA
Source: RNAcentral
CCCUUAGAUGUUCUGGGCCGCACGCGUGCCACACUGAGUGGAUCAGCGGGUCAGGUUGCGCGAAAGUGUUUCCUAAUCUUGAAAUCCGCUCGUGAUGGGGAUUGACGGUUGCAAUUUUCCGUCAUGAACGAGGAAUACCUUGUAAGCGCGGGUCAUCAUCCCGCGCUGAAUACGUCCCUGCCCUUUGUACACACCGCCCGUCGCUCCUACCGAUUGAGUGGUCCGGUGAGGCUUUGGGAUCUGAGCAAAGAGAGCGUUUCGCUCGUUUUGCCCGGAAAACUCAGUCGAACCUUAUCAUUUAGAGGAAGGAGAAGUCGUAACA